Molecule: ribosomal RNA, 468 nt
Filed under: uncultured bacterium
Lineage: Bacteria
Description: partial 16S ribosomal RNA
Rfam family: Bacterial small subunit ribosomal RNA
Source: RNAcentral
GACGAACGCUGGCGGCGUGCUUAACACAUGCAAGUCGAACGGAAAGGCCCUGCUUUUGUGGGGUGCUCGAGUGGCGAACGGGUGAGUAACACGUGAGUAACCUGCCCUUGACUUUGGGAUAACUUCAGGAAACUGGGGCUAAUACCGGAUAGGAGCUCCUGCUGCAUGGUGGGGGUUGGAAAGUUUCGGCGGUUGGGGAUGGACUCGCGGCUUAUCAGCUUGUUGGUGGGGUAGUGGCUUACCAAGGCUUUGACGGGUAGCCGGCCUGAGAGGGUGACCGGCCACAUUGGGGCUGAGAUACGGCACAGACUCCUAAGGGAGGCAGCAGUGGGGAAUAUUGAACAAUGGGCGGAAGCCGGAUGCAGCAACGCCGCGUGCGGGAUGACGGCCUUCGGGUUGUAAACCGCUUUCGCCUGUGACGAAGCGUGAGUGAAGGUAAUGGGUAAAGAAGCACCGGCUAAAUACGUG